UUUGUGUAGCACUGUAUAGAUUAACCUAGUUCUAUUUUAGGUUACUCCAGCCACUCCUAGCUGCGACAACAAAGCGCCUUCUCUGCAAUCACGUUUCUAACCCCACAAAAAAGGAAAAGUUGAAUGAAGCCGACUUUUGAAACAUAUUCCUCCCACUCCCCUGCCCCAAAAGCCUGCAGAGCAAGCCAGAACCUUGGCACCACGUGCCCGGACGGAGCCACACUGCAGCCAGCCCAGCACCGGCGGGGUGGCAGGGGCCGCAGCUAUGCCGGCUGCCUCUCCCAUCAGCUCCCCAGGCAACUGGAAACACCGCCUGAUCCUCAGCGUGGGAAGAUCUGAGACGCGAGAUUAGCGGAGAAGGAACUACAACCAGACAACAGCGUCCGCCCGGGCUACUGCCGUGCUAAACGCGCUCUGCUCUGCACAGCGUGUGGAUCUGGACGCAACAUCUCCUGGAGGACAAUGGGUGACGGUCACUCCCAGAUGAAGCUCCAGGACUUAAAAUGAAGCUCUAUGAACAAAUUUUGCUGCUGGUGGAGGUUGCUGAGGUCACCAGGACAACCCCAGCGCUGUAGGAUUCCUGUGCACUCACAGCACUUGCUGUGAUCCCAAAGCCUUUUGUAUUCCUACAAGCUCCAUGCUAGAAGACCUGGAAUUGAAUAGUAAUGAUUUAUAUGCAGGAAAACAAAUCAAGAACAACUUGUGUUAAGUGUUUUAACUGUUGCUGUUUCCAGGGUCAUAUCAAGCUUUCUGAAUGAGAUCCAAAAUUUCUGAGUGCUUGGUUAGGCAGUGCUGCCAAACACCACAUUAAAAUGUAAGAAUAGGGUGCAUCAGUUGUAAUUUCUUCUUAUCUUUGCACCCUAGAAGGCAAUUUAAUGUGAGGAAGCUAUUGCUUCCGCCCUGCUUAAGGUUUGAUCUGGAUUACUUUUUUCAAUUUUUGGUUUGAGGUGGUGUCAUAUUUUGCUCUGUCACGUAUUGCAAGUGACUUGUCAAGUAAAAGAUCUUGCUGGCCAAGCAGAAGAAAGCUAAAUGUCCUUCCAGCUGUCAAACUCGGAUCCUCUGUGUACUGAGCACUGGGCACCUGGGGCUGCCCUUUGUCCCACUACACUUGGUCCUUUACAACUUGUGAGUUGCCACAGGAACUUGUGAUUCAAAUGCAUGAAAUGGAGUCUGUAAUUUACACCUGGCCAAUUAUGACCUCCCAGUGCCAAGCCCAUCACUGUAGUUUAGAGGGAAAAUGUUUCUAUCAUGUCACUACUCUUUGAAAUAACCUUUAGGAGUAAACCUUCAUUCAGUUGUAAUGCAUAGGAGAGAAAGGAAAUCUCAAAACAAAGGCACAAUGCUCAAUAGUUUUCAAUAACAAAAAGCAGUUGUGAAGUUGUGCUGUAGUCUGGAGAGAAGUUAAUCUAGUGAUUAUAAAUGAUUUUUCCCCUCAUAGUAAUGCAUAAGAGAAAGUGAAGAACAAUAUGUCAAUGACUAAACAGCUGUAUUGAAUCACUGUGUUGGAGAAGCUGUAGAUUUCACUGUCUUCUUUACCACAGUUUUCCUCUCUUCAUUGAGACAAAUGGAGUACAGGAAGCCUGGAUCCUGACUCUUCUUGUGUUUCAUAUUGUCAGUUAAAGAGGCAAUAUGAAUUUCUCCCAGCAAGCCACCCUGCUAGGCAUUCUCCCUGGCAGGGGGACUACAGCUGCAGAAUGGCUGCUGUUCUGUACUGCAUGGCAUGUGUGCAGAAUAACCUUGAGCAUAGUGCAGUUGAUAUCCUGAGAUUGUUAUCCAGGUUUGACCACUGUGGGGUCAAAUGACAGCACUGGAUUGUGCCUUGCAUUUCAUGAAAAUGCAACUUUUGCUUCUACCACAAGUAGAGAAGUUCACCAGAAAUGAGAGUUAAGCACCUGUCCUGCACUGUGGAUUUCUGAGAUUCUGUGCUGCCUGGGGGUGCAGUUCUGAGCCCCAUAUUAAGUGCCAGUGAGCUCUCUCCACAGAGUGGGUAGACAAAACAAAUCCUUUUCCUGCUGAAGACCAAGGACAACUUUGAGGCCCAAACAUAUAAACAAUGGUGGACUGAAGGGAGGAACAAGAAGGAUGGGACCUCACAGCCUGAAGCUGUAAUUGAACAAUUAAACCCCAAUAUGCAAAUGAACCAAAACUUAUAAAAGUGUAAGACCUUGUGACCAGUCAGCCAUUGUGUAACCAUUCUUAGUCCAUCCUGGGUGUAGCCCUGGUCAGGCUCCUGUCCUGCCCAAGGUGUAUCCUAGAGGCCUUUCAAUAAAUAUCUACUU
This is a long non-coding RNA of Prinia subflava (tawny-flanked prinia), 2279 nucleotides long. RefSeq lists it as uncharacterized. The record is from RefSeq and is a predicted model, not a curated record. NCBI's taxonomy places the organism in Eukaryota, Metazoa, Chordata, Aves, Passeriformes, Cisticolidae. The transcript has 3 exons.